Molecule: ribosomal RNA, 253 nt
Filed under: uncultured bacterium
Lineage: Bacteria
Description: partial 16S ribosomal RNA
Rfam family: Bacterial small subunit ribosomal RNA
Source: RNAcentral
UACAGAGGUCCCAAGCGUUGUUCGGAAUUACUGGGCGUAAAGCGCACGUAGGCGGGCGAUUAAGUCAGGGGUGAAAUCCCGGAGCUCAACUCCGGAACUGCCUUUGAUACUGGUCGUCUAGAGAUCGGAAGAGGUGAGUGGAAUUCCCAGUGUAGAGGUGAAAUUCGUAGAUAUUGGGAAGAACACCAGUGGCGAAGGCGGCUCACUGGUCCGAUACUGACGCUGAGGUGCGAAAGCGUGGGGAGCAAACAGG